This 597-nucleotide ribosomal RNA is filed under the name uncultured bacterium. RNAcentral describes it as "bacterial SSU rRNA". It matches the Rfam family "Bacterial small subunit ribosomal RNA", at positions 56 to 635 of the family's 1533-position model. The record is from RNAcentral.
UGCAGUCGAGCGAACUGAUUAGAAGCUUGCUUCUAUGACGUUAGCGGCGGACGGGUGAGUAACACGUGGGCAACCUGCCUGUAAGACUGGGAUAACUUCGGGAAACCGAAGCUAAUACCGGAUAGGAUCUUCUCCUUCAUGGGAGAUGAUUGAAAGAUGGUUUCGGCUAUCACUUACAGAUGGGCCCGCGGUGCAUUAGCUAGUUGGUGAGGUAACGGCUCACCAAGGCAACGAUGCAUAGCCGACCUGAGAGGGUGAUCGGCCACACUGGGACUGAGACACGGCCCAGACUCCUACGGGAGGCAGCAGUAGGGAAUCUUCCGCAAUGGACGAAAGUCUGACGGAGCAACGCCGCGUGAGUGAUGAAGGCUUUCGGGUCGUAAAACUCUGUUGUUAGGGAAGAACAAGUACGAGAGUAACUGCUCGUACCUUGACGGUACCUAACCAGAAAGCCACGGCUAACUACGUGCCAGCAGCCGCGGUAAUACGUAGGUGGCAAGCGUUAUCCGGAAUUAUUGGGCGUAAAGCGCGCGCAGGCGGUUUCUUAAGUCUGAUGUGAAAGCCCACGGCUCAACCGUGGAGGGUCAUUGGAAACUG